AGUGAACGCUGGCGGUAGGCCUAACACAUGCAAGUCGAACGGCACCCCAGUAAGAGCUUGCUCUUACGGGUGGCGAGUGGCGGACGGGUGAGGAAUACAUCGUAAUCUACUUUUUCGUGGGGGAUAACGUAGGGAAACUUACGCUAAUACCGCAUACGACCUACGGGUGAAAGCAGGUGAUCUUCGCAACUUGCGCGAUUGAAUGAGCCGAUGUCGGAUUAGCUAGUUGGCGGGGUUAAGGCCCACCAAGGCGACGAUCCGUAGCUGGUCUGCGAGAAUGAUGAGCCACACUGGAACUGAGAGACGGUUCGGACGUUUACGGGAGGAAGAUGUGGGGAAUAGUCGACAAUGAGCGCAAGCAUAGGCGAGGCAAAGCGCGGGUGUGAAAAAGACCUUCGAGUUGCAAAGCCGUAUUGUUGGGAGAGAAGAGCAGCAGGUUAAUAGUCAGCUGUUCUGCCAGUACCGAAAGUAUAAGCAAAGGCUAACUUCGUG
RNAcentral lists this ribosomal RNA (492 nucleotides) under uncultured bacterium. Its description in RNAcentral is "partial 16S ribosomal RNA". It matches the Rfam family "Bacterial small subunit ribosomal RNA", at positions 29 to 507 of the family's 1533-position model. The record is from RNAcentral.